This 497-nucleotide ribosomal RNA is filed under the name uncultured bacterium. Its description in RNAcentral is "partial 16S ribosomal RNA". It matches the Rfam family "Bacterial small subunit ribosomal RNA", at positions 28 to 507 of the family's 1533-position model. The record is from RNAcentral.
GACGAACGCUGGCGGCGUGCCUAAUACAUGCAAGUUGAGCGCUGAAGGUUGGUACUUGUACCAACUGGAUGAGCAGCGAACGGGUGAGUAACGCGUGGGGAAUCUGCCUUUGAGCGGGGGACAACAUUUGGAAACGAAUGCUAAUACCGCAUAAAAACUUUAAACACAAGUUUUAAGUUUGAAAGAUGCAAUUGCAUCACUCAAAGAUGAUCCCGCGUUGUAUUAGCUAGUUGGUGAGGUAAGGGCUCACCAAGGCGAUGAUACAUAGCCGACCUGAGAGGGUGCUCGGCCACAUUGGGACUGCGACACGGCCCAAACUCCUACGGGAGGCAGCAGUAGGGAAUCUUCGGCGAUGGACGAAAGUCUGACCGAGCAACGCCGCGUGAGUGCAGAAGGUUUUCGGAUCGUAAAACUCUGUUGGUAGAGAAGAACGUUGGUGAGAGUGGAAAGCUCAUCAAGUGACGGUAACUACCCAGAAAGGGACGGCUAACUACGUG